Molecule: long non-coding RNA, 496 nt
Filed under: Homo sapiens (human)
Lineage: Eukaryota; Metazoa; Chordata; Mammalia; Primates; Hominidae
Description: non-protein coding lnc-ANP32A-3:12
Source: RNAcentral
AGGCGACCGACGCUGAAAGGGCCGCGGAGUCGCGUGUCAGGGCUGGAGGGAGAUCUUGAGGUCCUCCCAGUGACUGACCUGGCUCAUUCUCCGAAAGUGGUUGACAGGCCACUACGAGAGCUCUUGAGAGAAGCUUUGUGACAUGAAAUUCAUCAAAUGAAGCAAGAUUCAUUUUUAAAGAAUAAUACAAAGCUCCAGAGUAAUAUGCUUAAUCCAAAUGUUUAAAUAGAAUUUAAAACCACAUUUUAAGUAAAUUUAAAAUUAAUGAAAUAUCAAUAGUUUGCCUUAACAAGGACUUGCUUGAACCAUAUUCUCCUUUUAAAAUCACACACACAGAAUCAGUGUACAUUUAGAGAAAUUUCCCCAGCUGAAUAACAUUUUUGACAUGAAUUCAUUCAAAAGACACCAACCAUUAUGAAUAUUUUAGGCCAUGAUAAGCUGUAACCACCUCCGGCUUAUGGUGGUUAGGAUGUUGCAGCUUAAUGUUGACAUCUGG